CAAAGUAGGGGUCGGAGGCUCAGAAACCAGGGAGUUAAGGGCUCCAGCAACAGUUACCCAAGAGGAGAAGAGCCUGCAGAUUUAUUAUUCUGCAGAGAGAUUGGAAGCACUGGCUGGCGUGGUGCAGAGACCAGAGGUAGAGUCCGGCAGGUGAACAAGCUUGGGAGGGCCAGCUUGGAGGGGUGUUUUCAGUGCCUGAAGGACAAAGAGCACCAAAAAACCAUCAAUUUUAAGACAGACCUUGUCACAAACCUGUCAAAUCUGGAAAGCCAACAAAGCAGAGAGCUCAGCUUUCGCCGUCCAGCCUCAAACACCCAAAGGUUUUGGGUCACAUCUGGACCAGAAGAACAGCUGGAAGACUGUUCAGCCCUUCUUCCCUCAGUCUGAAAGGAAUCGUGCAUCAAUAUAAACCUUUUGGCCAUAGUAAGGGCAUGAAGCAUCCAUUUACAUUGUCCAGUUGUCAAAUUCCAUAUGGUAGGAUGAUGAGGAACCAUGGACUUUCCUUCACUGGAGGAAUAACCAACCCCUCCAACUCUACAAUUCUAUGAUUUAAUUUAGGUGGCUACCACUAUGCCCUACAGGAGCAAGUUCUACAGCUCAACUAUGUGCUGUAGGAAGAAGGACUUUCUAUUAUCUGUCCUGAAUCUUCCAAAUUAAUAGAAUCAUAGAACUAUAGAGUUGGAAGGCACCCCAAGACUCAUCUAGUCCAACCCCCUGCUCUGAAGGAAAGUCAGCUAAAGAUUCCCUGACAGAUGGCCACCCAACCUCUGCUUAACCUCCAAUGAAGGAGAGCCCACCACCUCCCAAGGGAGACCAUUCUGCUGUCGAACAGCUCUGUCAGAAAGUUUUUCCUGAUGUCUAGUCAGAAUCUCCUUUCUUGGAGCUUGAAGCCAUUGGUUCGAGUCCUAGCUUCCAGAACAGGAGAAAACAAGCUUGCUCCAUCUUCCAUGUGACAGCCCUUUAGAUAUUUGAAGAUGGCUUUCUUGGGCUCCAUGAUCACUGCAGAUGGUAUCAGCAGUCACAAAAUUAAAAGACGCCUGCUUCUUGGGAGAAAAGUGAUGACAAACCUAGACAGCAUCUUAAAAAGCAGAGACAUCACCUUGCCAACAAAGGUCCGUAUAGUUAAAGCUAUGGUUUUCCCAGUAGUGAUGUAUGGAAGUGAGAGCUGGACCAUAAAGAAGGCUGAUCGCUGAAGAAUUGAUGCUUUUGAGUUAUGGUGCUGGAGGAGACUCUUGAGAGUCCCAUGGACUGUAAGAAGAUCAAACCUACCCAUUCUGAAGGAAAUCAGCCCUGAGUGCUCACUGGAAGGACAGAUCGUGAAGCUGAGGCUCUAAUACUCAUGGCCACCUCAUGAGAAGAGAAGACUCCCUGGAAAAGACCCUGAUGGUGGGAAAGAUUGAGGGCACAAGGAGAAGGGGACGACAGAGGACGAGAUGGUUGGACAGUGUUCUCGAAGCUACCAGCAUGAGUUUGACCAAACUGCGGGAGGCAGUGGAAGACAGGAGUGCCUGGCGUGCUCUGGUCCAUGGGGUCACGAAGAGUCAGACACGACUAAACGACUAAAUGACU
Molecule: long non-coding RNA, 1569 nt
Organism: Podarcis raffonei (Aeolian wall lizard)
Lineage: Eukaryota; Metazoa; Chordata; Lepidosauria; Squamata; Lacertidae
Exons: 6
Source: RefSeq, a predicted model, not a curated record